CAGCCGCCACGGUAAUACAGAGGGUGCGAGCGUUAAUCGGAUUUACUGGGCGUAAAGCGUGCGUAGGCGGCUUUUUAAGUCGGAUGUGAAAUCCCUGAGCUUAACUUAGGAAUUGCAUUCGAUACUGGGAAGCUAGAGUAUGGGAGAGGAUGGUAGAAUUCCAGGUGUAGCGGUGAAAUGCGUAAAGAUCUGGAGGAAUACCGAUGGCGAAGGCAGCCAUCUGGCCUAAUACUGACGCUGAGGUACGAAAGCAUGGGGAGCAAACAGGAUUAGAUCCCCUGUAGUCCCUGUCUCUUAUACA
RNAcentral lists this ribosomal RNA (301 nucleotides) under uncultured bacterium. RNAcentral describes it as "partial 16S ribosomal RNA". It matches the Rfam family "Bacterial small subunit ribosomal RNA", at positions 509 to 808 of the family's 1533-position model. The record is from RNAcentral.